GAUGAACUCUGGCGGCGUGCCUAAUACAUGCAAGUCGAGCGAACAGACGAGGAGCUUGCUCCCCUGACGUUAGCGGCGGACGGGUGAGUAACACGUGGAUAACCUACCUAUAAGACUGGGAUAACUUCGGGAAACCGGAGCUAAUACCGGAUAAUAUAUUGAACCGCAUGGUUCAAUAGUGAAAGACGGUUUUGCUGUCACUUAUAGAUGGAUCCGCGCCGCAUUAGCUAGUUGGUAAGGUAACGGCUUACCAAGGCGACGAUGCGUAGCCGACCUGAGAGGGUGAUCGGCCACACUGGAACUGAGACACGGUCCAGACUCCUACGGGAGGCAGCAGUAGGGAAUCUUCCGCAAUGGGCGAAAGCCUGACGGAGCAACGCCGCGUGAGUGAUGAAGGUCUUCGGAUCGUAAAACUCUGUUAUUAGGGAAGAACAAAUGUGUAAGUAACUAUGCACGUCUUGACGGUACCUAAUCAGAAAGCCACGGCUAACUACGUG
RNAcentral lists this ribosomal RNA (497 nucleotides) under uncultured bacterium. RNAcentral describes it as "partial 16S ribosomal RNA". It matches the Rfam family "Bacterial small subunit ribosomal RNA", at positions 28 to 507 of the family's 1533-position model. The record is from RNAcentral.